RNAcentral lists this microRNA precursor (57 nucleotides) under Blattella germanica (German cockroach). Its description in RNAcentral is "Bge-Mir-10-P2_pre stem-loop". It matches the Rfam family "mir-10 microRNA precursor family", at positions 8 to 67 of the family's 74-position model. Rfam says of the family: In this case the mature sequence comes from the 5' arm of the precursor. The extents of the hairpin precursors are not generally known and are estimated based on hairpin prediction. The record is from RNAcentral. Lineage: Eukaryota; Metazoa; Arthropoda; Insecta; Blattodea; Blattellidae.
AACCCGUAGAUCCGAACUUGUGCUAGUUCGAUUCACAAGCUCGAUUCUAUGGGUCUA